UACGUAGGGAGCAAGCGUUGUCCGGAAUCAUUGGGCGUAAAGCGCGCGUAGGUGGCUUCGUAAGUCCGUUGUGAAAGUCAAAGGCUCAACCUUUGAAAGCCGAUGGAUACUGCGGAGCUAGAGUGCGGAAGAGGCGAGUGGAAUUCCUGGUGUAGCGGUGAAAUGCGCAGAUAUCAGGAGGAACACCGAUUGCGAAGGCAGCUCGCUGGGACGUAACUGACGCUGAGACGCGAAAGCGUGGGGAGCAAACAGG
Molecule: ribosomal RNA, 253 nt
Filed under: uncultured bacterium
Lineage: Bacteria
Description: partial 16S ribosomal RNA
Rfam family: Bacterial small subunit ribosomal RNA
Source: RNAcentral